RNAcentral lists this ribosomal RNA (155 nucleotides) under uncultured bacterium. Its description in RNAcentral is "partial 16S ribosomal RNA". It matches the Rfam family "Bacterial small subunit ribosomal RNA", at positions 355 to 509 of the family's 1533-position model. The record is from RNAcentral.
UGGGGAAUAUUGCACAAUGGGCGCAAGCCUGAUGCAGCGACGCCGCGUGCGGGAUGGAGGCCUUCGGGUUGUAAACCGCUUUUGUUCAAGGGCAAGGCACGGUUUUUGGCCGUGUUGAGUGGAUUGUUCGAAUAAGCACCGGCUAACUACGUGCC